This is a small nuclear RNA of Camelus ferus (Wild Bactrian camel), 104 nucleotides long. Lineage: Eukaryota; Metazoa; Chordata; Mammalia; Artiodactyla; Camelidae. The record is from Rfam.
CUGCUCGCUUCGGCAGCACGUGUGCUGAAACUGGAACGACACAGAGGUCAGCACGGCCCCUGCGCGGGGACGACACGCAGAUUCGCAAAGCGUUCCAUAUUUUU